RNAcentral lists this ribosomal RNA (301 nucleotides) under uncultured bacterium. Its description in RNAcentral is "partial 16S ribosomal RNA". It matches the Rfam family "Bacterial small subunit ribosomal RNA", at positions 509 to 807 of the family's 1533-position model. The record is from RNAcentral.
CAGUAGCCGCGGGAAUACGUAGGGCGCAAGCGUUAUCCGGAAUUAUUGGGCGUAAAGAGCUCGUAGGCGGUUUGUCGCGUCUGCCGUGAAAGUCCGGGGCUCAACCCCGGAUUUGCGGUGGGUACGGGCAGACUAGAGUGAUGUAGGGGAGACUGGAAUUCCUGGUGUAGCGGUGAAAUGCGCAGAUAUCAGGAGGAACACCGAUGGCGAAGGCAGGUCUCUGGGCAUUAACUGACGCUGAGGAGCGAAAGCAUGGGGAGCGAACAGGAUUAGAUACCCCAGUAGUCCCUGUCUCUUAUAC